Oxyura jamaicensis (ruddy duck) is the source of this 1468-nucleotide long non-coding RNA. RefSeq lists it as uncharacterized. The record is from RefSeq and is a predicted model, not a curated record. Lineage: Eukaryota; Metazoa; Chordata; Aves; Anseriformes; Anatidae. The transcript is spliced from 4 exons.
CACGACUAAAGGCACAGACCGAUAGCAGUUGAAUUUGUGAAUAAUUUAAGGAUUAAUUGAAAUGUAUUUAGGAAAGUAUCCGUCACUGGAGACAAAUGCUGAACUUGCACUAAUGAUGGUGCAUGCGUGCCAGCAAGGAAUAAAUGAUCUCUGCUCAGAUUCUUGCUUGAGUGAGUAUCUCCACCAGCCUCAAACUUUAAAUAUUUAGGAGGUGUCUGGGGACAUUAAGUGGUGGAGAAGGGAGAGAGGAAGAAGAGACUCUCAAGCCCAGUGGAGAGAAACUUCAAAGCAUCAGCAAUUUAUCUGAAAAUCCUUAAUGGUUCAAAUUACCCAAGAACCUCAAGAAGCACUCAGUGAGGGGUGAAGAAGUAGUAGUGUGACUUAUGUAUGACUGACAAGGAGGGAGCAGGGUCUCCCCCAGUAUGCAUUUCUGCAGGUCUUCGAUUAGAAUAGCAAGUUAAAAUAUUCUUUUAGGAGUCUUUCCAAAAAAACAUGUUUUUCUACAUCCAAGCAUCUUUGUAGGAAAAGACUUCGUAGGAAAGAACUUCAUGGGCUUUUUUGUUAUUUUCUUUCCUCCUUGUAUAUAAAUGUUAAUGGAAUGGGCUGGAAUAACAAAGGAUAAGCAUUUUUUUUUUUUUUUAAAGCCAUUUCUGAUACAGAAAGCUUCCCCAAAGCCUCUGCUGUGCAGAGAAGUGAUAUCUCAAGCUACAGACACAGCUACCACCCGCAACCAAGAUCUUCACUUGGAAACGAGACCGAGCUGUGAGCCCUCCCCACUCCCACUCCUCGUGGCUGGGCUUGCAGGGAGCUGUGCAGGGUGCUGGGGGUGCUGCACCCAGGGAUGCUCUGCGUGGCUCCAUCCAUCACACGGCACGUGCCCUCCCUGCACCACGACCGUCGACAGCUUCAGAUUUUCUCAAGGGUUCCCAUUUUACAAACACAACUCUUCUGUUCAUCAAGCUACAGUGCAGGAAUAACUUAGCUGGCAGCUCGUCAGGCUGAAAUCUGGAGCUGCAGUAACGGUUGCUCGUUUGGUAGGACUGACGAGCUUAAUUACAUGCACCACAUGACUCGAGUUCCAAACAGUUGUAUUCUCAUUUUAAUUAAGCUGUAUGUGAGUCGAUAGUUAUCUCCUCUUUCCUCACACUCAGCGUUAGCUUUCCUUCAUGAGCAGCAUCCUUGAUAAUGAAGGAAAAAAGUUAUUUGAAGAAAAAUUUAUUGCUCAGUAAAAAAGUGAAGCCUUGCACAAAGCAUCCCAACGAGUACCAGGGAGCUAUGGGGAGGGAUUUCUUCCAUUUACAUCUUUUCCCCAGGUUUUGAUGCCUCUGCAAACACUGUCACUAUGCUGGUGGAUGAGCCUCCAAAUGACGUGCACAUGUGUGUCUGAGUGCUUCACAGACUUGUGUGAGGAGAGAGCAAAUCCUCUUCACUAAUUUGGUGUUGGAUGCUUAAUGGGUGUUAAAUUUAA